This 162-nucleotide unclassified non-coding RNA is filed under the name uncultured fungus. RNAcentral describes it as "sequence contains ITS1". Lineage: Eukaryota; Fungi. The record is from RNAcentral.
ACAAAUCCACGUCUGUGUGUCCCUGUGGGGCGCACUGAGUCCGGCGGGAGGGCGGGCAGCUGCCCUCUUGUCGCAGUAAUAUACUAUUAUUUCAUUAUAUAUUACGUAUGUCCACAUUAUUAUAAGUGUGUAGUUGACUAAUUGCGGGAACAAUGUGAUAGA